GCGGCUAUGGUGUAGUGGUAACACGGCAGCUUCCCAAGCUGCAAUCACGGGUUCGACCCCCGUUAGCCGCU
Molecule: transfer RNA, 71 nt
Filed under: Planctomycetaceae bacterium
Lineage: Bacteria; Pseudomonadati; Planctomycetota; Planctomycetia; Planctomycetales; Planctomycetaceae
Description: tRNA-Gly
Rfam family: tRNA
About the family: Transfer RNA (tRNA) molecules are approximately 80 nucleotides in length. Their secondary structure includes four short double-helical elements and three loops (D, anti-codon, and T loops).
Source: RNAcentral